UACGGAGGGUGCGAGCGUUAAUCGGAAUUACUGGGCGUAAAGGGUGCGUAGGUGGUUUGGUAAGUUAGAUGUGAAAUUCCUGGGCUUAACCUAGGGACUGCGUCUGAUACUGCUGAGCUAGAGUACUGUAGAGGAAAGUGGAAUUUCCGGUGUAGCGGUGAAAUGCGUAGAUAUCGGAAGGAACAUCAGUGGCGAAGGCGACUUUCUGGACAGAUACUGACACUGAGGCACGAAAGCGUGGGGAGCAAACAGG
RNAcentral lists this ribosomal RNA (253 nucleotides) under uncultured bacterium. RNAcentral's name for it is "partial 16S ribosomal RNA". It matches the Rfam family "Bacterial small subunit ribosomal RNA", at positions 524 to 776 of the family's 1533-position model. The record is from RNAcentral.